RNAcentral lists this transfer RNA (111 nucleotides) under Candidatus Freyarchaeota archaeon. Its description in RNAcentral is "tRNA-Ser". It matches the Rfam family "tRNA". Rfam says of the family: Transfer RNA (tRNA) molecules are approximately 80 nucleotides in length. Their secondary structure includes four short double-helical elements and three loops (D, anti-codon, and T loops). The record is from RNAcentral. RNAcentral also lists the same sequence under 1 other name. Lineage: Archaea; Promethearchaeati; Candidatus Freyarchaeota.
GCAGGGAUAGCCAAGUGGACAGAUUAAUUUUACUGCCCCACACUACGGCGCUGGCCUUGAGAGCCAGUAUCCCUUUGGGAUGCGGGGGUUCGAAUCCCCCUCCCUGCGCCA